RNAcentral lists this ribosomal RNA (445 nucleotides) under uncultured bacterium. RNAcentral's name for it is "bacterial SSU rRNA". It matches the Rfam family "Bacterial small subunit ribosomal RNA", at positions 28 to 457 of the family's 1533-position model. The record is from RNAcentral.
GAUGAACGCUGGCGGCGUGCUUAACACAUGCAAGUCGAGCGAAGCGGCUGAAUUGAUUCUUCGGAUGAUUUUCAGUUGACUGAGCGGCGGACGGGUGAGUAACGCGUGGGUGACCUGCCCCAUACCGGGGGAUAACAGCUGGAAACGGCUGCUAAUACCGCAUAAGCGCACAGAGCUGCAUGGCUCGGUGUGAAAAACUCCGGUGGUAUGGGAUGGGCCCGCGUCUGAUUAGGCAGUUGGCGGGGUAACGGCCCACCAAACCGACGAUCAGUAGCCGGCCUGAGAGGGCGACCGGCCACAUUGGGACUGAGACACGGCCCAAACUCCUACGGGAGGCAGCAGUGGGGAAUAUUGCACAAUGGGGGAAACCCUGAUGCAGCGACGCCGCGUGAGCGAAGAAGUAUUUCGGUAUGUAAAGCUCUAUCAGCAGGGAAGAUAAUGACGG